GACAGAGGGUGCAAACGUUGCUCGGAAUUACUGGGCGUAAAGCGUGUGUAGGCGGUCUCUUAAGUCGGAUGUGAAAGCCCCGGGCUCAACCCGGGAAGUGCACUCGAAACUGGGAGGCUAGAGUACUGGAGAGGUUGGUGGAAUUCUCGGUGUAGAGGUGAAAUGCGCAGAUAUCAGGAGGAACACCAAUUGCGAAGGCAGCUCGCUGGGACGUUACUGACGCUGAGACGCGAAAGCGUGGGGAGCAAACAGG
RNAcentral lists this ribosomal RNA (253 nucleotides) under uncultured bacterium. Its description in RNAcentral is "partial 16S ribosomal RNA". It matches the Rfam family "Bacterial small subunit ribosomal RNA", at positions 524 to 776 of the family's 1533-position model. The record is from RNAcentral.